Molecule: long non-coding RNA, 139 nt
Organism: Sander lucioperca (pikeperch)
Lineage: Eukaryota; Metazoa; Chordata; Actinopteri; Perciformes; Percidae
Exons: 4
Source: RefSeq, a predicted model, not a curated record
CUUGUUUUGUUGCAGGCAUGGAGUACAGUAAGCAGCGCUUUAAAGUGUGGCUUCAUUUUACGUUGGAAAAAGCCCGGUAAAAACUGUAAAGCACCACUGAAUCAAAAAUAAAAUGUUCCUCUAAUCUGUGAAAUAAGCA